GCAAGGGAAGUCGGCAAAA
Molecule: small nuclear RNA, 19 nt
Filed under: Arabidopsis thaliana (thale cress)
Lineage: Eukaryota; Viridiplantae; Streptophyta; Magnoliopsida; Brassicales; Brassicaceae
Description: snRNA_03452
Source: RNAcentral